AUUCAUCUGAUGAGUCUCAAAUAGGACGAAACGUGCGUCUUGGAU
This 45-nucleotide non-coding RNA is filed under the name Schistosoma mansoni. The record is from RNAcentral. Lineage: Eukaryota; Metazoa; Platyhelminthes; Trematoda; Strigeidida; Schistosomatidae.